This is a long non-coding RNA of Triticum dicoccoides, 991 nucleotides long. RefSeq lists it as uncharacterized. The record is from RefSeq and is a predicted model, not a curated record. The transcript is spliced from 3 exons. Lineage: Eukaryota; Viridiplantae; Streptophyta; Magnoliopsida; Poales; Poaceae.
GCGUGGAAGCUGAUUUCUCUAGCAAUCAGGUCAUGAUCGGCAAUCUUCGGGAGGAAUUGCAUGCGCCGUCCCUUCCACAUGCUGGUUACCUUCCUCCAGUUCAAUCGCUCCAGACAUGGGUGUGCAUGGCUGAAGUCUGCACCAGAUAGUGUUCAUCCUUGCCUUUGAUCACCUGUCCUACUGUAAAAAGAUCUAAUUGCUUCAUAGUCAUAAUUUGCUUAUAUCUAGAGUUCAUAUAGAGAUUAGUAAGCAGAUAGCGUGUUUUUUGUCAAAUGGUUAUGCAGGUUCGAGCAAGCUCAAAGUAGGCUGGGGAGGAUGACCAGUGAUUAUACUGAUGCUGGUCCAUAUUUCUUGUGCAGGUUCGAGCAAGCACAUCGCCCACGUACAAAAAAUGUUCUUGAUGGUGGUCCAUAUUUUUUAUGCAUAAAACAAAUGUACACAUUUUAUCUAGAAGCAAUAUAACUCUGAAAAAAUGAUUUUUUAUGGACUUUUAGCUCGUGCAGAGUCGGCUGAAAUGCUAUAUCAUCAACACCUUAGCUAUUAUUUUCAUUUAUUAUCAAUAAAAGACGGAGUUGCUGAUGCCAUAUGUCAUUUCUGACAAUAUGAUCGACAUGUGACGUGUCUGAGAUCCGUCGCAAUGCAUGGGAACGGACAGUGGUGGCAAGAGAUGCACCAUCAAGGGCGGCGGCGGGUGGCCUUAUCACGUGGGCCAGAGCCACAACCACAACUAAUAAUAUGCUUGAGAAGCUGCCAUGAUGUGCUCCAGCGCCGAGCAACAAGCCGGUGGUGCAAUGUUGAUAGAACAAUGACAACAACGUCAUGAGAACCGAGAGCGUCCACACAACUAUUUUCCUCUACGAUGGCAGGGGGAGAACCGGGAUGAGAUCUACAAGGUAGCUCGGCCAGAACGAAGGCGACUUGAAUUGUGAGCAGAACGACGCCGGUUAUGCAGCCACCGAUCGAGAGUGAAUUAGUGAAAGCAAUACUUGCA